GUACUAGCUCCAGUAGCACAUACACUAAAAUUGGAACCAUACAGAGAAGAACAGAGAUUAGCACAGCCCCUGCACAAGGAUGAUGCAAAUUUGUGAAGCGUUCUGUAUUUCU
This 112-nucleotide small nuclear RNA is filed under the name Catagonus wagneri (Chacoan peccary). The record is from RNAcentral. Lineage: Eukaryota; Metazoa; Chordata; Mammalia; Artiodactyla; Tayassuidae.